ACAUGAAAUAAUAUGAUUUUGUGUUGUCGCGGGGGUUUUUAUGCAAUUGUUUGUGUUGUGGUCGCUGUUGGCAGCGUGUGCGGGCUGUGGGUGACCUCUGGACUGAUUGUCCAAGGCCCCAAGCCCUUGCAAAAAUCGGAAAGUGAUUUCCGAUGCGUUUGUCGGCAAAAUCCGCCGACGGAAUGCGUUUUUAGUUUGGAAUUAUUCCGACGGUGCCUAGUGAUGUUUUGUGUCGUCGCUGAGCCUGGUUAGCUGGUCACCCGCGUCGUUUCGUGGGUUCAAAAACGACGGGUGAGCGACGGUGGGUUCCGGUGUCAAAUUGGACACUUCCGAGAACCCGAAUCCGAACGAUUAUCCAAUGAUAAUUGUUUGGAGGCGAGAUCUUGUGUUUGCUGCCAGGACACACAAAUAAUGGUGUUUAGUGUUAGCGGGUGACUCGUAGCACGAGUUGGUGAAUUUCGGGAUAGUUCGUGGGUCUUGGUGAAGUCCCGGUGCGAUUUUCGGGAUCCCCGGCGAGUUACAGUAGUCGGUUUUGGGAAAUCGAUCUCCGUGGAAUUGUUUGUGGGGUUGUGGAUUCAGCGUUUAUUAUUUAUGGGUUAGACACUAACCUG
Molecule: long non-coding RNA, 611 nt
Filed under: Ananas comosus (pineapple)
Lineage: Eukaryota; Viridiplantae; Streptophyta; Magnoliopsida; Poales; Bromeliaceae
Description: long non-coding RNA (ACOM_LNC022572)
Source: RNAcentral